Molecule: ribosomal RNA, 208 nt
Filed under: uncultured bacterium
Lineage: Bacteria
Description: partial 16S ribosomal RNA
Rfam family: Bacterial small subunit ribosomal RNA
Source: RNAcentral
UACGAAGGGGGCUAGCGUUGCUCGGAAUCACUGGGCGUAAAGCGCACGUAGGCGGCUUUCUAAGUCAGGGGUGAAAUCCUGGAGCUCAACUCCAGAACUGCCUUUGAUACUGGAGCUUGAGUCCGGGAGAGGGUGAGUGGAACUCCGAGUGUAGAGGUGAAAUUCGAUUAGAUAUUCGGAAGAAACACCAGUGGCGAAGGCGGGCUCA